Molecule: long non-coding RNA, 222 nt
Organism: Etheostoma spectabile (orangethroat darter)
Lineage: Eukaryota; Metazoa; Chordata; Actinopteri; Perciformes; Percidae
Exons: 2
Source: RefSeq, a predicted model, not a curated record
CAGCAUCUCCACCGACCUCCAGUAAAUAAUCGAACUACUUCUAAGCGUGUAUAGCGCAGAUAUCUCACCGACUCCAUGUAAAUGAACACUAAGCUUUAGCGGCUGAUAGAGCAGCACAUCUCCACCACGACUCCAUGUAAAUAAUCCCUACUUUGAGCGGGUAUAGAGCAGCAUAUCUCACACCAGACUCCAUUGUAAAUAAUCAAUACUUUUAGCGUUGUA